Molecule: non-coding RNA, 86 nt
Filed under: unclassified sequences
Source: RNAcentral
UAACGACUGCCACCGGGCAGCAAUUGUUGGUACUUUUGACAAUUCCGUUAGGUCUUUGAAGGAAUUGUGAGGGGUACCAUUUUCUU